GGGGUCCCUUUUAUAGAUGGAGAGCGUAACUGAUUGACAGCGACGUCUGUAACCGCUUGGUAGUGGGCCGUUCAGAGCCACACGAAGUUUGUUAUAAAGAGUAGUGGCGUCAGGGGCCAUUCAGGGCCACGUGGAGUUUGUCCGUUGUCGUGACUUGCCAGAGAGUGGUGGAGCCAUGCGGAAUUUAUUGCAGAGAGUGGAGUAG
RNAcentral lists this long non-coding RNA (205 nucleotides) under Elaeis guineensis (African oil palm). Its description in RNAcentral is "long non-coding RNA (EGUI_LNC053763)". The record is from RNAcentral. Lineage: Eukaryota; Viridiplantae; Streptophyta; Magnoliopsida; Arecales; Arecaceae.